UGCGAAAGCAGGUCAUAGUGAUCCGGUGGUUCUGAAUGGAAGGGCCAUCGCUCAACGGAUAAAAGGUACUCCGGGGAUAACAGGCUGAUACCGCCCAAGAGUUCAUAUCGACGGCGGUGUUUGGCACCUCGAUGUCGGCUCAUCACAUCCUGGGGCUGAAGUAGGUCCCAAGGGUAUGGCUGUUCGCCAUUUAAAGUGGUACGCGAGCUGGGUUUAGAACGUCGUGAGACAGUUCGGUCCCUAUCUGCCGUGGGCGCUGGAGAACUGAGGGGGGCUGCUCCUAGUACGAGAGGACCGGAGUGGACGCAUCACUGGUGUUCGGGUUGUCAUGCCAAUGGCACUGCCCGGUAGCUAAAUGCGGAAGAGAUAAGUGCUGAAAGCAUCUAAGCACGAAACUUGCCCCGAGAUGAGUUCUCCCUGAGACUUUAAGUCUCCUGAAGGAACGUUGAAGACGACGACGUUGAUAGGCCGGGUGUGUAAGCGCAGCGAUGCGUUGAGCUAACCGGUACUAAUGAACCGUGAGGCUUAACCUUACA
RNAcentral lists this ribosomal RNA (536 nucleotides) under Salmonella enterica. RNAcentral describes it as "partial 23S ribosomal RNA". It matches the Rfam family "Bacterial large subunit ribosomal RNA", at positions 2398 to 2925 of the family's 2925-position model. Lineage: Bacteria; Pseudomonadati; Pseudomonadota; Gammaproteobacteria; Enterobacterales; Enterobacteriaceae. The record is from RNAcentral.